RNAcentral lists this ribosomal RNA (559 nucleotides) under uncultured bacterium. Its description in RNAcentral is "bacterial SSU rRNA". It matches the Rfam family "Bacterial small subunit ribosomal RNA", at positions 366 to 917 of the family's 1533-position model. The record is from RNAcentral.
GGAUUGAAUGGGCGAAGCCUGAUCCAGCAAUGCCGCGUGCAGGACGAAGGCCUUCGGGUUGUAAACUGCUUUUGUACGGAACGAAACGGUCUCCUCUAAUACAGGGGGCUAAUGACGGUACCGUAAGAAUAAGCACCGGCUAACUACGUGCCAGCAGCCGCGGUAAUACGUAGGGUGCAAGCGUUAAUCGGAAUUACUGGGCGUAAAGCGUGCGCAGGCGGUUAUAUAAGACAGAUGUGAAAUCCCCGGGCUCAACCUGGGACCUGCAUUUGUGACUGUAUAGCUAGAGUACGGUAGAGGGGGAUGGAAUUCCGCGUGUAGCAGUGAAAUGCGUAGAUAUGCGGAGGAACACCGAUGGCGAAGGCAAUCCCCUGGACCUGUACUGACGCUCAUGCACGAAAGCGUGGGGAGCAAACAGGAUUAGAUACCCUGGUAGUCCACGCCCUAAACGAUGUCAACUGGUUGUUGGGUCUUCACUGACUCAGUAACGAAGCUAACGCGUGAAGUUGACCGCCUGGGGAGUACGGCCGCAAGGUUGAAACUCAAAAGAAUUGACGGA